AUGAAAAGUCCGUCGGUUGAAAUCGGCGUCCAGCUUACAGACGUUUUUACGCAGAGUUUAUGUUCAGAAUUAAUCGUCGAAAUAGUGAAAUUCAUCAUCUACCAGAAACAAUUGAUUCCUUUUCCCCUCGAUCAUUUAAAACUCUGCAUUGCGAGACGAAAAAGCAUAGAGGACACAAGAAUUGACCAGACUUCCAGUAGAGACAACCAAACAGGAUCGACCUACCUUGUUGAAAAACAUUUGAAAAAAACAGUCGAUUCAUUGGACUUACUUGACUCCAUGUUCAAAAGCAUUAUUUCUGAGAUUGAAAACUGCGACUCAAACGAUCUUAAAGAAGUUCUGCUGGUGUUAGGAGCAACUAUUCUAAGUCCUCAAAACGUAUUCCGGAUAAAAAUCCCACAGAUAGAAAAACUGCAUUCAGAUAAAUAUCAUCCACCAAGAAAGCAACUUUUCAAUGUUCUCAGGUCACUGGUGGGCACUUCAAAUUUUGCAGAUCUUAUGUGUAAAGAAAUUAGCUCUAAAAAUUUAUUCAUUUUCUUGAAACUGAACGCAAGUUACUGCGUCAAGUCAAGUCAUCUCCUUCCGAAAGAGAACUUCAGCUUACCACUGAGAGCUCAAGAGUCGAUCAUCAAUAUACUUACAUUAGAUGGAAGUUCUGCAGAUUGUUGUUGUUCGGGUAUAAAAUUUUCAAUGACUCCAAUGUGGAGACCUCUCCCGCGCGGGCAGGUAGUGAAAAUUCCGCCACCACUUUAG
This 753-nucleotide long non-coding RNA is filed under the name Bemisia tabaci. RNAcentral's name for it is "lncRNA ENSSSA2NGG008999". The record is from RNAcentral. Lineage: Eukaryota; Metazoa; Arthropoda; Insecta; Hemiptera; Aleyrodidae.